GACGAACGCUGGCGGCGUGCCUAAUACAUGCAAGUAGAACGCUGAAGGAGGAGCUUGCUCUUCUGGAUGAGUUGCGAACGGGUGAGUAACGCGUAGGUAACCUGCCUGGUAGCGGGGGAUAACUAUUGGAAACGAUAGCUAAUACCGCAUAAUAGCAGUUGUUGCAUGACAACUGUUUGAAAGGUGCAAUUGCGCCACUACCAGAUGGACCUGCGUUGUAUUAGCUAGUUGGUGAGGUAACGGCUCACCAAGGCGACGAUACAUAGCCGACCUGAGAGGGUGAUCGGCCACACUGGGACUGAGACACGGCCCAGACUCCUACGGGAGGCAGCAGUAGGGAAUCUUCGGCAAUGGACGGAAGUCUGACCGAGCAACGCCGCGUGAAUGAAGAAGGUUUUCGGAUCGUAAAGCUCUGUUGUAAGAGAAGAACGAGUGUGAGAGUGGAAAGUUCACACUGUGACGGUAUCUACCA
This 472-nucleotide ribosomal RNA is filed under the name Streptococcus mitis. RNAcentral describes it as "bacterial SSU rRNA". It matches the Rfam family "Bacterial small subunit ribosomal RNA", at positions 28 to 485 of the family's 1533-position model. Lineage: Bacteria; Bacillati; Bacillota; Bacilli; Lactobacillales; Streptococcaceae. The record is from RNAcentral.